AAGACCUUGCGCUUUGGGAGCGGCCGAUGUCUGAUUAGCUAGUUGGUGGGGUAAAGGCCUACCAAGGCGACGAUCAGUAGCUGGUCUGAGAGGAUGAUCAGCCACACUGGGACUGAGACACGGCCCAGACUCCUACGGGAGGCAGCAGUGGGGAAUUUUGGACAAUGGGCGCAAGCCUGAUCCAGCAAUGCCGCGUGAGUGAAGAAGGCCUUCGGGUUGUAAAGCUCUUUCAGUUGAGAAGAAAGAAUUCUGGUUAAUACCUGGAAUUUAUGACGGUAUCGACAGAAGAAGCACCGGCUAACUACGUGCCAGCAGCCGCGGUAAUACGUAGGGUGCAAGCGUUAAUCGGAAUUACUGGGCGUAAAGGGUGCGCAGGUGGUUUUGUAAGUCAGAUGUGAAAUCCCCGGGCUUAACCUGGGAAUU
RNAcentral lists this ribosomal RNA (423 nucleotides) under uncultured bacterium. Its description in RNAcentral is "bacterial SSU rRNA". It matches the Rfam family "Bacterial small subunit ribosomal RNA", at positions 207 to 622 of the family's 1533-position model. The record is from RNAcentral.